CAAGACGCAACAAAACAACAACAACAAAACUAUACUCAUCCUCACACUCACAGGAAAAAGCCUAAAAGAGCAACUUUAGAUCCCUCUGUUCUACAGUGUUCUACAGUGUUCUACAGUGUUCUACAGUGUUCUACAGUGUUCUAGUGUUUUAGUGUUUUGUUCUGUUCCCUUUAAAGACAAAAUGAUCUAGCAUUCUAAUUGGACAUCCAUCUCGCUUUUGUGUGGAGGGGCUGCUCACUGGUGAAUCCUGUGGCUGACAAGCAGGCCUAAAGAGUCAGCCCUUUUCUUAAUGGUAUACAAGAGGCAAUAACAGUUGAGUAAUGCAUUAACUGGUUUGUCUAUCUAAGACAAAACUUCUAGGCUCAAUCCACCCUCCAGUUUUAUCUCCUGAUAGCAGGACUAUAGAUGUGUGCCACCAUGCCGUCCACCUGAUAAAAUGUUCUGCAUUCAAGGACAGCGCUGGUGAUCAUCUGUUUUAGAAGGCACCACUUACACACCACGACUGAUAAGCUUGCCAAACCUGCCUUGAAGAUUCAGGUCACCAGUAUGGUGGAGUGGCUUGGUAAAACUUGGGAGAUCUCAAGGUCUUCGAAUUCCCCAUCUUCCUGCCUCCAUCUCCUCAGAGCUGGAUUGCAGGCAUGCACCAGCGCAGCUGAUUAGACCAGUGACAUUAAAAUACUAUAAACGAAA
Non-coding RNA from Rattus norvegicus (Norway rat), 690 nucleotides. The record is from RefSeq and is a predicted model, not a curated record. NCBI's taxonomy places the organism in Eukaryota, Metazoa, Chordata, Mammalia, Rodentia, Muridae.